This 101-nucleotide small RNA is filed under the name Panthera pardus (leopard). RNAcentral's name for it is "7SK RNA (ENSPPRG00000015649.1)". The record is from RNAcentral. Lineage: Eukaryota; Metazoa; Chordata; Mammalia; Carnivora; Felidae.
AUGAGGAAAAUCUGGAUGCAACAUCUGUCACUGUAUGAACCACCAGGGAUAAUUCAGCUGAUCUACCUACAUAAACAGGAAAUCCCAUCUUUCCCCAUCAC